CACGUGUGUGUGUGUGUGUGUGUGUGUGUGUGUGUGUGUGUGUGUGUGUGUGUGUGUGUGUGUGUGUGUGUGUGUGUGUGUGUGUGUGUGUAUCUUGGCGUUGUCUCCCGCUUCUGGGAGCAGCGUGGCUCGAUAGGGUAGCUGACAUAGUAGUAGUAGUAGUAGUAGUAGUAGUAGUAGUAGUAGUAGUAGUAGUAGUAGUAGUAGUAGUAGUGUGUAUGUACAUGUAUGUGUGUGUACGCACACGCGCUCACUCAUUCGUGUGCAUUCUUGUGUAUUCGUGUGCAUUCAUGCAUGUGUGUGUACGCCACCAAAUUUGUGGUAUAGAUUGUCGCCGCGGUACUUAUACCUGUUAAUCUUGUCAGGCCUAGUGACAGACCUAGUCAUUUGUUUUUUGCUGUCCAAUUUGAAUGCGUGCAGUCAAGGCUAUUCAGAUCGUCAGCCCAUGUAAAGAGGUAGAUGAUGGUCAGUGUGUCAGCCCAUGUAAAGAGGUAGAUGAUGAUUCAGUCUGUCAGCCCAUGUAAAGAGGUAGAUGAUGGUCAGUGUGUCAGCCCAUGUAAAGAGGUAGAUGAUGAUUCAGUCUGUCAGCCCAUGUAAAGAGGUAGAUGAUGAUUCAGUCUGUCAGCCCAUGUAAAGAGGUAGAUGAUGAUUCAGUGUGUCAGCCCAUGUAAAGAGGUAGAUGAUGGUCAGUGUGUCAGCCCAUGUAAAGAGGUAGAUGAUGAUUCAGUCUGUCAGCCCAUGUAAAGAGGUAGAUGAUGAUUCAGUCUGUCAGCCCAUGUAAAGAGGUAGAUGAUGAUUCAGUCUGUCAGCCCAUGUAAAGAGGUAGAUGAUGGUCAGUGUGUCAGCCCAUGUAAAGAGGUAGAUGAUGAUUCAGUCUGUCAGCCCAUGUAAAGAGGUAGAUGAUGGUCAGUGUGUCAGCCCAUGUAAAGAGGUAGAUGAUGGCUAUUCAGUGUGUCAGCCCAUGUAAAGAGGUAGAUGAUGGCAAGGCUAUUCAGUGUGUCAGCCCAUGUAAAGAGGUAGAUGAUGGCUAUUCAGUGUGUCAGCCCAUGUAAAGAGGUAGAUGAUGGCAAGGCUAUUCAGUGUGUCAGCCCAUGUAAAGAGGUAGAUGAUGGCAAGGCUAUUCAGUGUGUCAGCCCAUGUAAAGAGGUAGAUGAUGGCAAGGCUAUUCAGUGUGUCAGCCCAUGUAAAGAGGUAGAUGAUGGCAAGGCUAUUCAGUGUGUCAGCCCAUGUAAAGAGGUAGAUGAUGGCUGGAUUGAUGCCUGGUUUUGGUCACGGGUGUUGCUGCUUUUAACUGGGGACUUUACCCUGGUAAAAGAAAUGGAUUACUUCUGGCAGGACUCUCUAUCUCGUGCUGUCAGUCAUCCAUGUAUGCAUCGUCUGGUCUUCCCCGCGGAUGCAGGUGCUUGCA
Molecule: long non-coding RNA, 1408 nt
Organism: Sycon ciliatum
Lineage: Eukaryota; Metazoa; Porifera; Calcarea; Leucosolenida; Sycettidae
Exons: 3
Source: RefSeq, a predicted model, not a curated record